UUGGAGGGCAAGUCUGGUGCCAGCAGCCGCGGUAAUUCCAGCUCCAAUAGCGUAUAUUAAAGUUGUUGCAGUUAAAAAGCUCGUAGUUGAAUUUCGGGGUCAGUAGGUUGGUCGGGCCAAUGGUGUGUACUGGCUUUACUGAUUCCUCCUUCUUGAAGAACUGUAAUGUCAUUAAUUUGGUGUUGCAGGGAAACAGGACUGUUACUUUGAAAAAAUUAGAGUGUUUAAAGCAGGCUAACGCUUGAAUACAUUAGCAUGGAAUAAUGAAAUAGGACGUUCGAUCCUAUUUUGUUGGUUUCUAGGAUUGACGUAAUGAUUAAUAGGGAUAGUUGGGGGCAUUAGUAUUCAAUUGUCAGAGGUGAAAUUCUUGGAUUUAUUGAAGACUAACUACUGCGAAAGCAUUUGCCAAGGAUGUUUUCAUUAAUCAAGAACGAAAGUUAGGGGAUCGAAGACGAUCAGAUACCGUCGUAGUCUUAACCAUAAACUAUGCCGACUAGGGAUCGGAUGAUGUUAAUUCUUUAAUGACUCAUUCGGCGCCUUACGGGAAAC
RNAcentral lists this ribosomal RNA (549 nucleotides) under uncultured Glomeromycotina. RNAcentral describes it as "SSU rRNA". It matches the Rfam family "Eukaryotic small subunit ribosomal RNA", at positions 548 to 1098 of the family's 1831-position model. Lineage: Eukaryota; Fungi; Glomeromycota. The record is from RNAcentral.